Molecule: long non-coding RNA, 936 nt
Organism: Myotis davidii
Lineage: Eukaryota; Metazoa; Chordata; Mammalia; Chiroptera; Vespertilionidae
Exons: 2
Source: RefSeq, a predicted model, not a curated record
CCUUGGCCGUGCUGGACGUGGUUCAGUAGAGCACUGUGGUUGCGUCAAAGCUGCCGUGGCCUGCAAAGCUGAAAAUAUCUACUUUCUGGCUCUUUACAGAAAAAAUUUCCCAGUCCAUGAUCCAAAUCACCAGGCUGAAUAAUCAUUACAUCUGUGGGCCUUUUAAUUCUGUGUCUUUAGCCCUGUGAGGUCAAACCAAACUUUGUAGAAACUGCUAGAAUGUACCUGGUGAUGGUAGUUGGUAAUUGUUGAGUGAAACUAUGUUCCCAACACUCUGUGAAGCACUUUACAUGAGCUGUAUUAUCCUUAAUGCUCGCAAUAGCCCUAUUCAGUGAGUGCUAUUUUCACUUCAGCUUAUAGGUGAGGAAACAGACACAGAGAAGUUAAGUAACUUACUUGAUGUCACCCAGCAAGUAAGUGGUGGCAUCAAGGGUCAAAAGCACACAGCCUGGGUGGGAAACACUAUCCUAAACUGCCCUCAUCACUCAACAUUCUGCAGCUCCUCCACCACCACAGACCCGCUGCUUCCAACUGCUUGUCUAUCCCAACUUGCACAAGUAAACAAACAUCUUGCCACAAGAAUUUAGAACUUGCUUUGGAGCCAAAUGUUACAGUUAUCCCUUGCUUAGCAUUCAGGAUUCAAGGCAUGCUUCCAAGUCAUUUCCUCUCAAGCUUCAUUGAGAAGCAUUUGGAUGAGACUCUUGAGCCAAUACCACCCUUCUUUUUCUCUCCGUGUCCUGAGCAUGCAACAUACCUUCAGUGUCUCCCCCACCCACCCCCCCACCCCCCGGGUUGCUGGACAAUCUCCACUUAAAUCCCAGAUGUACUGGGGAUGACAAGUUUAAACUCUCCUGAAAAGUCUGUUUCAGAAAGUUCAAGUUCUCUGAUGUUCGCUCCUAGCAGCUCUGUCCGAUAAACUGUAUGUGCUAAUCUGCA